GACGAACGCUGGCGGCGUGCUUAACACAUGCAAGUCGAACGGAAAGGCCCUGCUUUUGUGGGGUGCUCGAGUGGCGAACGGGUGAGUAACACGUGAGUAACCUGCCCUUGACUUUGGGAUAACUUCAGGAAACUGGGGCUAAUACCGGAUAGGAGCUCCUGCUGCAUGGUGGGGGUUGGAAAGUUUCGGCGGUUGGGGAUGGACUCGCGGCUUAUCAGCUUGUUGGUGGGGUAGUGGCUUACCAAGGCUUUGACGGGUAGCCGGCCUGAGAGGGUGACCGGCCACAUGGGGACUGGGAUACGGCCCAGACCCCUACGGGGGGCAGGGGUGGGGAAUAUUGCAAAAGGGGCGGAAGCCUGAUGCAGCAACGCCGGGUGGGGGAUGACGGCCUUCGGGUUGUAAACCGCUUUCGCCUGUGACGAAGCGUGAGUGACGGUAAUGGGGAAAGAAGCACCGGCUAACUACGU
Molecule: ribosomal RNA, 467 nt
Filed under: uncultured bacterium
Lineage: Bacteria
Description: partial 16S ribosomal RNA
Rfam family: Bacterial small subunit ribosomal RNA
Source: RNAcentral